CCUCCCAUAACUCCCCUCAACCCUGUUUUAGACCCUACAUCUUUCAUUUUCAAGGACCGAUCAAGUAGCGACCGAUCAGUGCAAAAAUAUUGAAGAAAAAGACUGACCCACAUGCUCCCAUUCCUCAGGACAAACUCGAAUAAACCAGUGAAGGAAUACAAAUCGGUUAUCAGCCAGUUACCAAUUUUCCACAACGAGGUGGAGAAACUGAAGAAACAUAUGUUGGAUGAACAUAUUAGAGCUAUCAAAAUGACUCCGUUCGGCUAUUUUCUGGACUGCCCGAAGAUGAGACUGCCGUGGCACUGCCUUCUUGACUUGUACACUUAUGGCCCGUGGUGAGGGAGACGCCCAAGUACGUAAGAUGUCGGCAUUAAGGUGACACUCUCGACUGCGGUUCUUUGGUUUGCAUAUUUGCUGAGUGUUACACCUAUGCGAAUCCGACAAUCCAUCCCAUUGGUGGCAUCGGUGGUGAAUUUGAUAAUGUGAAGAGUUACCACAGCCAAAAUAAUAAAACGUUUGCCCUCCGAACUGUAGACUCCGAUGAACAACACAAGAUAAGUGAACGUCUGUAAUGAAUUUGGAUGGAUUAAGGAUUGAUUUGGAUUUUGUUAUUUGUGAUUGAUUUGGGUAAUGUGUUUUCGGAUUGAACAGUUGGUUGAAUUGGUUUGA
Molecule: long non-coding RNA, 669 nt
Organism: Andrographis paniculata
Lineage: Eukaryota; Viridiplantae; Streptophyta; Magnoliopsida; Lamiales; Acanthaceae
Exons: 3
Source: RefSeq, a predicted model, not a curated record